This 1268-nucleotide ribosomal RNA is filed under the name Staphylococcus pseudintermedius. RNAcentral's name for it is "bacterial SSU rRNA". It matches the Rfam family "Bacterial small subunit ribosomal RNA", at positions 1 to 1250 of the family's 1533-position model. Lineage: Bacteria; Bacillati; Bacillota; Bacilli; Caryophanales; Staphylococcaceae. The record is from RNAcentral.
UUUAUGGAGAGUUUGAUCCUGGCUCAGGAUGAACGCUGGCGGCGUGCCUAAUACAUGCAAGUCGAGCGAACAGAUAAGGAGCUUGCUCCUUUGACGUUAGCGGCGGACGGGUGAGUAACACGUGGGUAACCUACCUAUAAGACUGGAAUAACUCCGGGAAACCGGGGCUAAUGCCGGAUAACAUGUUGAACCGCAUGGUUCUACAGUGAAAGACGGUCUUGCUGUCACUUAUAGAUGGACCCGCGCCGUAUUAGCUAGUUGGUGGGGUAACGGCCUACCAAGGCGACGAUACGUAGCCGACCUGAGAGGGUGAUCGGCCACACUGGAACUGAGACACGGUCCAGACUCCUACGGGAGGCAGCAGUAGGGAAUCUUCCGCAAUGGGCGAAAGCCUGACGGAGCAACGCCGCGUGAGUGAUGAAGGUCUUCGGAUCGUAAAGCUCUGUUGUUAGGGAAGAACAAAUGUGUAAGUAACUGUGCACAUCUUGACGGUACCUAACCAGAAAGCCACGGCUAACUACGUGCCAGCAGCCGCGGUAAUACGUAGGUGGCAAGCGUUAUCCGGAAUUAUUGGGCGUAAAGCGCGCGUAGGCGGUUUUUUAAGUCUGAUGUGAAAGCCCACGGCUCAACCGUGGAGGGUCAUUGGAAACUGGAAAACUUGAGUGCAGAAGAGGAAAGUGGAAUUCCAUGUGUAGCGGUGAAAUGCGCAGAGAUAUGGAGGAACACCAGUGGCGAAGGCGGCUUUCUGGUCUGCAACUGACGCUGAUGUGCGAAAGCGUGGGGAUCAAACAGGAUUAGAUACCCUGGUAGUCCACGCCGUAAACGAUGAGUGCUAAGUGUUAGGGGGUUUCCGCCCCUUAGUGCUGCAGCUAACGCAUUAAGCACUCCGCCUGGGGAGUACGGUCGCAAGACUGAAACUCAAAGGAAUUGACGGGGACCCGCACAAGCGGUGGAGCAUGUGGUUUAAUUCGAAGCAACGCGAAGAACCUUACCAAAUCUUGACAUCCUUUGACCGCUCUAGAGAUAGAGUUUUCCUCUUCGGAGGACAAAGUGACAGGUGGUGCAUGGUUGUCGUCAGCUCGUGUCGUGAGAUGUUGGGUUAAGUCCCGCAACGAGCGCAACCCUUGAACUUAGUUGCCAUCAUUCAGUUGGGCACUCUAAGUUGACUGCCGGUGACAAACCGGAGGAAGGUGGGGAUGACGUCAAAUCAUCAUGCCCCUUAUGAUUUGGGCUACACACGUGCUACAAUGGACAAUACAAAGGGCAGC